This 484-nucleotide ribosomal RNA is filed under the name uncultured bacterium. RNAcentral describes it as "partial 16S ribosomal RNA". It matches the Rfam family "Bacterial small subunit ribosomal RNA", at positions 30 to 507 of the family's 1533-position model. The record is from RNAcentral.
AUUGAACGCUGGCGGCAGGCCUUACACAUGCAAGUCGAGCGGAUGAAGGGAGCUUGCUCCUGGAUUCAGCGGCGGACGGGUGAGUAAUGCCUAGGAAUCUGCCUGGUAGUGGGGGAUAACGUCCGGAAACGGGCGCUAAUACCGCAUACGUCCUGAGGGAGAAAGUGGGGGAUCUUCGGACCUCACGCUAUCAGAUGAGCCUAGGUCGGAUUAGCUAGUUGGUGGGGUAAAGGCCUACCAAGGCGACGAUCCGUAACUGGUCUGAGAGGAUGAUCAGUCACACUGGAACUGAGACACGGUCCAGACUCCUACGGGAGGCAGCAGUGGGGAAUUUUGGACAAUGGGCGAAAGCCUGAUCCAGCCAUGCCGCGUGUGUGAAGAAGGUCUUCGGAUUGUAAAGCACUUUAAGUUGGGAGGAAGGGCAGUAAGUUAAUACCUUGCUGUUUUGACGUUACCAUCAGAAUAAGCACCGGCUAACUUCGUG